This 631-nucleotide long non-coding RNA is filed under the name Homo sapiens (human). RNAcentral's name for it is "HSALNT0304671". Lineage: Eukaryota; Metazoa; Chordata; Mammalia; Primates; Hominidae. The record is from RNAcentral.
GAGGGUGCCGGUCAGCGGAGCCGUGCGAUGUAUUUGAAAAGCAAUCAGUCCGACCUUCCCCCAUAGAUUCAUCGGAAGGCAUUCUCUUCCUCUUCCUCCAGCUGCCUGAAAAUCAUAUGCGUGGUUUUUCCUGUUUCCUGCUCUGUAGCUGACAUCAGGGGAGCAACGUGAACACAGGAAAAUGGAAAUCAACAUUUGAAACUUUUAAAUGGAAGCUUUAUUGGGGUUCCACAUAUGGAAAACUGCAAAUAGCAGAAGUAUGUGACUCAAUAAAUUAUUCUGGAGUGACCACAUCCUCUAACUGCCUCCCAGGACAAGACGGAGAAUGUGAACAAUGCUCCUGAAGGCCCCUUUCCCUCAAAGAAUCACUGCAAUUGAAGGAAAAAUGCUCCAUGUCCCCUCUGCCAGUUGGUGUUUAUCAAAGGACAACGGAGGAAGAGAGACAAAGUGCCUGGAUGUGUGUGUUAAUCAAGAGUUGUCAGGACCCUGCCUCUAAAAGAAAGCGCUAAAAUGAUGCUUUUGACAAGACUUUUCUCAAAGUGGAUGCAGUCUAAGGGUUGGAAAACAAGGCCCAAUCAGGCUAGGUCUGACUUGUCGCCUGCUUUUGUAAAUAAAGUUUUAUUGGCUCACA